Molecule: ribosomal RNA, 453 nt
Filed under: uncultured bacterium
Lineage: Bacteria
Description: partial 16S ribosomal RNA
Rfam family: Bacterial small subunit ribosomal RNA
Source: RNAcentral
AACGAACGCUGGCGGCAUGCCUAACACAUGCAAGUCGAACGCCUGCAGCAAUGCAGGAGUGGCAGACGGGUGAGUAACACGUGGGAAUCUACCCAGUAGCUCGGAAUAACCGCGGGAAACUGCGGCUAAUACCGGAUAAGCCCCGAGGGGGAAAGGAGCAAUCCACUAUUGGAGGAGCCCGCGUCUGAUUAGCUAGUUGGUGGGGUAAUGGCCUACCAAGGCGAUGAUCAGUAGCUGGUUUGAGAGAACGACCAGCCACACUGGGACUGAGACACGGCCCAGACUCCUACGGGAGGCAGCAGUGGGGAAUAUUGGACAAUGGGGGAAACCCUGAUCCAGCAAUGCCGCGUGGGUGAUGGAGGCCUUCGGGUUGUAAAGCCCUUUUGUCGGGGACGAUGAUGACGGUACCCGACGAAUAAGCCCCGGCUAACUUCGUGCCAGCAGCCGCGGUAA